RNAcentral lists this transfer RNA (63 nucleotides) under Heterocephalus glaber (naked mole-rat). It matches the Rfam family "tRNA", at positions 5 to 66 of the family's 71-position model. Rfam says of the family: Transfer RNA (tRNA) molecules are approximately 80 nucleotides in length. The record is from Rfam by way of RNAcentral. Lineage: Eukaryota; Metazoa; Chordata; Mammalia; Rodentia; Bathyergidae.
GUGUAGCUCAGUGGUAGAAUAAUUGCCUAAUAUGCAGGAGGCCCUGGGUUCAAUUCCUAGCAC